Molecule: ribosomal RNA, 424 nt
Filed under: uncultured bacterium
Lineage: Bacteria
Description: bacterial SSU rRNA
Rfam family: Bacterial small subunit ribosomal RNA
Source: RNAcentral
AAGACCUUGCGCUUUUGGAGCGGCCGAUGUCUGAUUAGCUUGUUGGUAAGGUAAAAGCUUACCAAGGCUUCGAUCAGUAGCUGGUCUGAGAGGACGACCAGCCACACUGGGACUGAGACACGGCCCAGACUCCUACGGGAGGCAGCAGUGGGGAAUUUUGGACAAUGGGGGCAACCCUGAUCCAGCCAUGCCGCGUGAGUGAAGAAGGCCUUCGGGUUGUAAAGCUCUUUCAGCCGGAACGAAACGGUUACGGUUAAUACCCGUGACUACUGACGGUACCGGAAGAAGAAGCACCGGCUAACUACGUGCCAGCAGCCGCGGUAAUACGUAGGGUGCAAGCGUUAAUCGGAAUUACUGGGCGUAAAGCGUGCGCAGGUGGUUUUGUAAGUCAGAUGUGAAAUCCCCGGGCUUAACCUGGGGAACU